CCCAGGGAGAGAAAUAAGCUAUUUUGUUUAGCCCACUGUUAUUUUAGCUCUUGCUUGAGCAGCUAAACUGGUAUCCUCACUAACGGAGAAUUUGGGAUUCAGAUGUACGGUGCUGCCACGGUAAGACAGACUACGAGGCGUGUUCUUCGCAGUACUGGGCGGUAAAGACACAGAUAUUUCAGGCCAGAGAAUGGGUGCUACUUGGCGUGGCCUGGAAAAGCAUUUGCUUGCAGCAUCUCAGAAGGCAGGCCUGAUGCUCGCGGAGUACAUGACUCCAGUAGAAUCUGUUGGAAAAACUCAGGAUGUUGGUAUGGGUUGGAUGAUUCUUCUUGCUUUGUGAACGGCCAUCAAGAGACUAACUCAGAGAAUGAAGAAAUUGCAAUAAUGGCAAACGACACUACCCCCCGAGCCUUUCUCAGGUGUCUCCAUAACGGCUGCUGGCCAGGCAAUGGGAGCCAUCCCGGCUGCGAAGGCAGAUGACGGCACCGUCUUCCCACCCAGAGGCUUUUGUUCUAGGUGGCCUCAAGAAAGUCACCGCAAGGAGGAGAGAAGAGGGGAUUAGGCAGAGCAGAUUGAGCACAGGGGCCAGAGCUUUUAACACAUGAAAAGCAGGUCCAGAGGAGGCUUUUGGUUGUGGUUACUUACACUUGGAAGUGUCUAGAAGCAAAUACAUCUUGACGGUUUUGAAAAAUGGUAUUUCCAAAGAAAUUGAAACCCUGGUCUGCAAAAGUAGGUGAUUAUUCAGCCCCACAUUUUCUUAUACAUACUACUAGGAAAGAGACAGCAGCCCUCUGCAGCCCUCAAGAGAGAAACACUCCCCGGGAUCCAUUUAAUACGAGGCCGCGGAGGACCUUAUCUAUUGUCGAGGUUCUUUCUCCCAGAAAACCAGGAACGGCCAACGAGCCUAUCCGAGGAUCUUGUUUCACUGUCCAGCUGGAUGUGAAACUCACUAUUGACACGAGUUGCUUUGGUUUUCAUUCAUUCCUUUUCUGAAUGGGAGUUUUUAUUGCCCUUGUCCUGACUCUACCCAACCCUGUUGCUAUGGAGACAAUAACUUGUAGCUAGCUCAGACUGUGGGCAGGCACAACAAGCCUAACGGGGAGGAGACACAAUACCGAGAGUCACUACAUUGGAGCUGCAUUUGGGAGCUGGGCACAACUUCCGGCUGCCUCUCUUGGGGAUGAUGAUGUUCCAUGCCUGGGAGGAAGGGAAUGCAUGAGCAUCUGGUCGGCCAAAAGGUAAGCUUGUAUCAGAGAAUGCUGGCUUCCUCAAUAUCUGUUGCCUCCCCCACUUGUUUUUCUUUCAAAGUAGAAUUUCUAAGAUUGACCCCAGUGUGUGGCUUCUUGGCUAAAGGUUACAUUUUAUGGCUUCCCAUGCGGCCCAGUUGGCUGCUUGACUGAGUUCUGUCCAAUGGCGCGUGAGUGGGAGAUGGGGGCCAGAAAAGGAAUAGGCAUAUUCUCCCCUUCCAUUCACCCCUCCCUUCAUCUCUGCUGGCUGGGAUGUGACUGUGAUGGAAGGAGCUGGGACAGCUACCUUGGACCAUGAGUAGAUAGAACCUGCAAAUGGAAGGUGCGCAGCAUCGGAGGUAAGGCAUCCGGUUCCCCCACACGGUGGAGCCCGAGACAGCCCUGGACUGCUCUGCAUGGACUUCUGUAUGAGAGAAAAAAGCCCCUUGUAUCUUGGCCUCUGUUUCAGCAGCUGAAAUGGGAUCCUAACCAGUUCAACAGAACACCAGACCUUCCGAAAUGGAGCUUGAGGAGCUGACUUCUCCGCCCCGGAUCGGGACGGUGGGAACAUUGACAGUGGCCUCUCAGAUCGCCCUGCUUGCCCCUGCAUGUUUCGCAGUGAGGACAGCUCCGGACGUCCCGCCGCCCGGCCUGUGGCCCCGCUGCAGUGACAGCGCGCCUGGGGGUGGUGAUUCUCCGGCCUCGGAUGGAGCGGCUGCUNGCUGCUGGGAAUGCCUGGUGUAGACGCUGCGCGCCCUGCCUGCCGACAGGCACCGUCUGUCCGAGCCGUAGCGGUACCGAGAGCUGGCAGGCCCGGAGCCAC
RNAcentral lists this long non-coding RNA (2049 nucleotides) under Lynx pardinus (Iberian lynx). Lineage: Eukaryota; Metazoa; Chordata; Mammalia; Carnivora; Felidae. The record is from RNAcentral.